RNAcentral lists this long non-coding RNA (225 nucleotides) under Bos taurus (domestic cattle). RNAcentral's name for it is "long non-coding RNA NONBTAT005782". Lineage: Eukaryota; Metazoa; Chordata; Mammalia; Artiodactyla; Bovidae. The record is from RNAcentral.
UGAGCAAAAGAUGAAGAAUGGGAAAAUGUUUAGGUUGAUCAGAAAACCAAGCACACCCACUUUCCAGAAACCUAGGCCAGAAACUCAGGGCUUGAUAAAGGUAAUCAGGCUAGCAUAGAACAGGCGCUAGAAUCAAACAUCUGGUCACUCAAGGAUCAGCCAACAGCUAACUGCUUAAUGUUAGCUGCUGUUACUGUGGUUGUUAGUAUUGUUACUCAUGUUGUC